CAGCCGUAAACUAUGCGCGUUAGGUGUACUGGUGACCACGAGUCACCGGGGUGCCGAAGGGAAUCCGUGAAACGUGCCGCCUGGGAAGUACGGUCGCAAGGCUGAAACUUAAAGGAAUUGGCGGGGGAGCACAACAACGGGUGGAGCUUGCGGUUUAAUUGGAUUCAACGCCGGAAAUCUUACCGGGACCGACAGCAACAUGAAGGCCAAGCUGAAGACUUUGCCGGAUUAGCUGAGAGGUGGUGCAUGGCGUGUGACUGU
RNAcentral lists this ribosomal RNA (261 nucleotides) under uncultured archaeon. RNAcentral's name for it is "partial 16S ribosomal RNA". It matches the Rfam family "Archaeal small subunit ribosomal RNA", at positions 748 to 1008 of the family's 1478-position model. The record is from RNAcentral.